AGUGCUGUUGUCAGUGAUGUAUCUGUUUGUCUGAAUGUAGUAUGACGUCACUAAGCAGUAAUUCGUCACUACCACUGAGACAACAGCUGU
Small nucleolar RNA from Pygocentrus nattereri (red-bellied piranha), 90 nucleotides. Ensembl annotates it as Small nucleolar RNA SNORD70. Lineage: Eukaryota; Metazoa; Chordata; Actinopteri; Characiformes; Serrasalmidae. The record is from Ensembl.